CAGGGCUACUGUCUUGUAAUUGGAAUGAUGGUGACUUAAACCCUCACCAGAGUACCAAUUGGAGGGCAAGUCUGGUGCCAGCAGCCGCGGUAAUUCCAGCUCCAAUAGCGUAUAUUAAACUUGUUGCAGUUAAAAAGCUCGUAGUUGAAUUUCAGCGUUUCGCGUGUGCCUCUUUUGGCCCAUCUCGUCUCGCUUUUUUUAUUACUUUGAGAAAAUUAGAGUGUUUCAAGCAGGCUUUUGUCUUGAAUACUUGAGCAUGGAAUAAUAGAGUAGGACCUUGGUUCUAUUUUGUUGGUUUUGUUACCUUGGUAAUGGUUAAUAGGAACGGUUGGGGGCAUUCGUAUUUAACUGUCAGAGGUGAAAUUCUUAGAUUUGUUAAAGACGAACUACUGCGAAAGCAUUUGCCAAGGACGUUUCCAUUAAUCAAGAAC
Molecule: ribosomal RNA, 431 nt
Filed under: Babesia occultans
Lineage: Eukaryota; Apicomplexa; Aconoidasida; Piroplasmida; Babesiidae
Description: SSU rRNA
Rfam family: Eukaryotic small subunit ribosomal RNA
Source: RNAcentral